This 64-nucleotide transfer RNA is filed under the name Rhinebothroides sp. MZUSP 8013. Its description in RNAcentral is "tRNA-Gly". Lineage: Eukaryota; Metazoa; Platyhelminthes; Cestoda; Rhinebothriidea; Rhinebothriidae. RNAcentral also lists the same sequence under 3 other names. The record is from RNAcentral.
AUAUUACUAGUAUAAAAAUUAUGCUACUUUUCCAAAGUAGAGAUCUAUAUUAAUAGGUAAUGUA